RNAcentral lists this ribosomal RNA (253 nucleotides) under uncultured bacterium. RNAcentral describes it as "partial 16S ribosomal RNA". It matches the Rfam family "Bacterial small subunit ribosomal RNA", at positions 524 to 776 of the family's 1533-position model. The record is from RNAcentral.
UACGGGGGGGGCAAGCGUUGUUCGGAAUUACUGGGCGUAAAGCGCACGUAGGCGGAUUGCUAAGUCAGGGGUGAAAUCCUGGAGCUCAACUCCAGAACUGCCUUUGAUACUGGCGAUCUCGAGUCCGGGAGAGGUGAGUGGAACUGCGAGUGUAGAGGUGAAAUUCGUAGAUAUUCGCAAGAACACCAGUGGCGAAGGCGGCUCACUGGCCCGGUACUGACGCUGAGGUGCGAAAGCGUGGGGAGCAAACAGG